RNAcentral lists this non-coding RNA (117 nucleotides) under unclassified sequences. RNAcentral's name for it is "drum RNA". It matches the Rfam family "drum RNA". From Rfam's summary of the family: Firmicutes, Bacteroidetes (1 example), Proteobacteria (2 examples), Spirochaetes (2 examples). The record is from Rfam by way of RNAcentral.
AGGCUGUGAAGCAGUGGGCUGGUUCGGUGACAGUCGAUUGUGAAGCCAGACCGUGGGUUGUGCGGGAACCACAAGCCAAAUAAGCGGCGGAAAUGCUGCUGAAAGAAAACGCAAAAA